CGUGUGGUGUUUGGUGCUGGUAACGGUGAUCAAAUGGCGACACGGCCCAUGAUUGAGGU
This is a non-coding RNA of Aliagarivorans marinus DSM 23064, 59 nucleotides long. The record is from Rfam. Lineage: Bacteria; Pseudomonadati; Pseudomonadota; Gammaproteobacteria; Alteromonadales; Alteromonadaceae.